This 282-nucleotide ribosomal RNA is filed under the name Faecalibacterium prausnitzii. RNAcentral's name for it is "partial 16S ribosomal RNA". It matches the Rfam family "Bacterial small subunit ribosomal RNA", at positions 524 to 801 of the family's 1533-position model. The record is from RNAcentral. Lineage: Bacteria; Bacillati; Bacillota; Clostridia; Eubacteriales; Oscillospiraceae.
AACGUAGGUCACAAGCGUUGUCCGGAAUUACUGGGUGUAAAGGGAGCGCAGGCGGGAAGACAAGUUGGAAGUGAAAUCUAUGGGCUCAACCCAUAAACUGCUUUCAAAACUGUUUUUCUUGAGUAGUGCAGAGGUAGGCGGAAUUCCCGGUGUAGCGGUGGAAUGCGUAGAUAUCGGGAGGAACACCAGUGGCGAAGGCGGCCUACUGGGCACCAACUGACGCUGAGGCUCGAAAGUGUGGGUAGCAAACAGGAUUAGAUACCCUGGUAGUGGCGACUGACU